GCUUGUGAAACUAAUGGCUUACAUUUAUUUAUUUGGUGAUUUUGUUGAAAAAUAUCAUUAAGAUGAUGAUAAGUAAUUACAAAGAGUGAAGAGGAUGAAAAGAGUGAAUAAAAAACAAAAAUAGAAAAAGAAAAAAUUAGUGUAACAAAGCUUCCUAAUCCUUCAACGUACCAAUUAGUGAAACCCCAUAAAAGCACCACAAGCUUUGCAUUAAAUACAUGCUAACCUUAUGACGAAUCAAGUGAUGAGAU
Molecule: long non-coding RNA, 251 nt
Filed under: Lupinus angustifolius (narrow-leaved blue lupine)
Lineage: Eukaryota; Viridiplantae; Streptophyta; Magnoliopsida; Fabales; Fabaceae
Description: long non-coding RNA (LANG_LNC001672)
Source: RNAcentral